CUCGUAGUGGUUGGUGGCUGCUGUAUCAAAAGCCUUCCUGUUAUCACUAAAGGCGUAGACGCCAUUGGUGUCGUCCAGCUAGAGAUCAUAGCUUCUGUUCCUUGUUGUUGAUGAUUUUUCUGUUUCCUGUGUGCAAGGGAAGGUGGUGACUUUGUUCCGUGAGAAGCUGUAGGGCGGCAUCCUUCUUCCUUUUCGGUGGAAGGAGUGUAGCAUUGUUCAUGUGGUUCUGGAGUAGCUACGGCGGCAGCACUCAUCGGUGUAACAGCGGCAAAAGAGGUUUGCAUUUUAUGCCGGCAGCUACGUUCUUACAACAACUCCUGUUCCUUAAUCCAGUUGGCAAUGGUGUGGGCGAUUUACGGUGACUACUUAUUAAAUUUGUCGGCUUAUACGGUGCUGUGUCGACGCUAACCUUGUGUUAUUCUCCAAUUGCGCAUCUGUAGUGCACCGGGGUCACACAUCUACCACGUGUGUCAUCAGUGGCUGCUGAAGUUGAGCUCAUAAUAGAGUUCUCACAUGCAAGUGGUCGUCAUCGUCGAAUCUUGGUUUUCUGGUGGUUCUACGAGCCAUUAUUCCAAUUGUUGAACUUGGUGAAGUUGGCGUUCGGGUUCUGUCGACGUGUGAUGUCUUACAGCAAGUGAUAAGAGCAAGCUGGUGUCGGGAGUCUAGCUCUAAAUCAAUUGUUUUUAUUUUGUUCUUUGUUCCGUGGCGGCAAUCAAGGGUGCACAGAACCAGUGUGGAAGCAAGUGGCGCUAGUAUUUCCUUCAUUCCCUCUCGCAUGGUUCUACAUUCAUAUCGAGGUGCUAGUGGAGUGCAGCGCUGCAAGGCCUCCCUAGUUGUUAGGUGACUGGAGCUACGGCGGGGGAUUCCUGUCCUUGUGGUUGAAUGAGAAGAAGUGCUCAACGAUUCUAGCUGCAUUAUUGACGUUGCUUGCGGCACUAGGGUGGCUGAUAGAACCUGUGAGAUCCGGUUCCAUGGUUCUGUAUCAUUGCGUUUGAAAGAGAUCUCAGUAACAUGGUUGAGGUGCAAUUGCAUUGCAAGCGGCGAUUAUUUGUUUGUAUCAUAUUGCCGAGGACCAUGGCGUGGUGUGGUCGUCCUCAACUUUUUGCCUCAUGUUGUCGGCCGGGGCUGUUGGCGCUGUGUGGAGAUCGCUCCUUGUAUAGUUCUACGAGCUUUGUCCGCGAUAGUGGAGCAGAUCGUCGGGGGCGACAAUGACUUAGUUGUUUAUCCUAGUCGAUUGGUUCAUUUUCUUUGAGUAAAAACCUUGUAUGUGAAGCAAUGGCGAGAAUAUAAGCCCAGUCAUUCCUAGAUUUCCCCCUUCGGAAGUGAGAUCUUUGUAGAGGUGCUGUGAAUAUUGUUGCGAGCUGCUCUUGCAAAAGAAUUGGUUCAAUUCGGUGCGCCCUUGCCAACAGAAAGUUUCCAAGAGUUAGAGGUCACUUGUUCCUCGUAGGUUGUUAAAAUAGCUGUAGAAUUAUUCAGUGGCCGUUGUCGACACUUGUAUUGUUGUAAGGUGACUAAUCUCUAAUCCACGCUGCAUUGGAGUCGAAGUGAAGACUGGAAUUUCAUCGUUAACCUUCAUGCACAAUAAAGGAACUCGAACAGCGCACGAAAGGAGUGCUGUAUUGAGAGUCUAGCUAUUGCUAGAGGAAGGCAUUGAGAGCAACAAAGACUUCAAGGCAGAACCAAUUCCAAAAAGGAUUAUUAAAUAAUCGUGAGACUUCUAGAUUGGAUAAAUCUAAUCAGGGACAGAGUUAGGAGCUAAACAAAAUCAAGUUAGGAUGCAAUUAGGUUAAGAUUCUAAAUGAUUAAAUUUUGGAUGAAGUUUU
Molecule: non-coding RNA, 1823 nt
Organism: Physcomitrium patens
Lineage: Eukaryota; Viridiplantae; Streptophyta; Bryopsida; Funariales; Funariaceae
Source: RefSeq, a predicted model, not a curated record